Non-coding RNA from Peromyscus maniculatus bairdii (prairie deer mouse), 1230 nucleotides. NCBI's taxonomy places the organism in Eukaryota, Metazoa, Chordata, Mammalia, Rodentia, Cricetidae. The record is from RefSeq and is a predicted model, not a curated record.
CCCUUCCCGGUCAGUUGUGAGCUGUUCUCUCCACUGUGGUAGAGGCAGUUAUUCUCCUGGACUCCUCCUUCCCAAGUAAACCUCUUUCUCAAAAGAGUUUUGGGUGAAGACCUUUUGACUGGUGAACAGAAGAACUUUGCUGGGAUGUCUUAUAGAGGACCAGGCAAGGGGGAGCUGAACAGAAGAAACUUGCAGGGACUUCCCAUAGUGGAAUGAGAAAGAAACAGCUGGUAACACUGAGCCUGAGAUUGCAGCUAUCCAGGGUAGGAGCAGGAUUGCUGUGUCGGACAGGGAGAUCAUACCCCAAAACACCAGAUAUCAGUUAUUACCUCAUGAAGAGAAGAUAUGUCCUUUGCACUUUUGAUCUUCUUUAAAGUGGAGAUCUCAAUAUCCAGGAGACAAGCUGUUUUUCACUCUCCUACAAUUGAAAGGGCUUCCCUGGAUCCCAAGGGGAAAAGAUCAGUCCUUGUCUCUCCUGGCAGACCAGAUCCUAGAGUUGGUGGUGGGUAGCAUCUCAGAUUUUGGUCUGGGCACAUUACUGGAGUUGGAGAGAAUUAAUAAUCAGCUUCAGCAGCAACUAAAAAGAAAAGAAAGGACUAUCAGUUGCAUCAUCAAGAACAUCACUGGUGACAUACAUCAUCAGGAUCAGCAGUAGCAGUGGCAUCAUCAGUAGAAUCUUAUGGAGUGACAUUAGUAUCAUUGUGUUUGAGAAGGUGUGAGAAUGUGGAGCCUCAUUUUGUUGGUUCUAUUCUCAGAUGUUGCUUCUUCUGAAAUAUUUGUUUCCAAGAAGAUGCUAUACUCAUAAGUCACAAUGAAUGCACACAGAAAAAUAGAAACUAACAUUUAACAGUUAUAUAUCUCUGCUUAGCCAUUCAGAAAACACAAGGUUCACAUUAGGAGUGAAAGUAAUUCCCUAGUUCCAGAAUAGGAGACAACUGUGAACCUACCAGCUUUACUUGGGCACUUUUGUUGGACUAAACUGUUAUUUUUAUGUGAUAUGUUUUCAAUAUUAUUGGAAAAAAAUGAAUCAAUUCUUUUCUGGUGCUAGAAAAUGCCUAAAAGUUCUAUAUAAAGCAUGGAAUUUCUUAAUCAUACAUAUUAGUGCCAAAAAGAAUUAGAUUUCUAGUACAAAAAUCUUCAUCUAUUUUAAACCAUUUCUGGGGUCUCACUUACCUUGUCCAAUGUUUUGGUUCCUGGGAUCUCUUGAAUGAAUUCGUCUGCGGAAUACUA